UUCAGAGGAACCUGUUCUAUAAUUGAUGAUCCACGAGUAAAAUUACUUAUUUUAAAAGUUUAUAUAUCGCCGUAGUUUGAAUAUUUUUGUAGAAAAUAAAUAUUCAAGAUUUUAUUAGAAAUUAAAUCAGGUCAAGGUAUAGUUUAUAGAUAAGAAGAAAUGGGUUACAAUAAAUAAAUUUAAAUGGAUAAUAAAUUGAAAAAUUAUUUGAAGGUGGAUUUGAAAGUAAUUUUUAUUAAAUUAUAAUAAUGAUUUUGGCUCUAAAAUAUGUACAUAUCGCCCGUCAUUUUCACUAUAAAGUGAAACAAGUCGUAACAUAGUAGGUGUACUGGAAAGUGUACCUGGAACGACAAAUUGGAGCUUGUUAGAAAGCAUUUUAGUUACAUUAAAAAGUUUAUUGUGAAAAUCAAUAUAAUUUGAAUUUAUAUUAUUAUUAAUGAAUUAAAUUUUUAGUUAUUUAAAUAAAAUAUUUUUAGGUUUUAUUAUAAAGAUGAAAAAAUAAAUUUUAUUAUAGUGAAUUAGUAGUGUGAAUUCAAUAAUUAAAGUUAUUUUAAGAAUAGUUAAAUUUUAGUACCUUGUGCAUCAGGGUUUAUUAAAUAAAAAUUAUUUAAUUAGUUUUCUCGAAUUUAAAAGAGUUAUAAAGUUAUAAUUUUUAUUGUUUAAUAAAUAUUAUUAAUAAUUUUAUAGUAAUGAAAUGUUAUUCGUUUUUAAAUAUAUUUAGUUUUUUAAGAAAUAAAUUUAAUUUAUUUAAUAAAAAUAUUUUAUUAAAUUUUUAAUUAAAUAUUAUUAUUAUUUUAUAUUUUUAGGGAUGAGCUUGAAAAUAAAGGUUUUAAAAAUAAAUAAAAAAUUUAAAAAAAUAGGAUUGAAAAUUUUCAUUUUUAUUAGUAUUUUAUAAUUAUUUUAAUUAUAAAUAAAAUUUUUAUUUAUUUUAAAUUUUUUAUUAAAAUAUAAAUUUAAAUAUGAAAAAUUUAGGAAUAAUGAUAAAAUUAGUAUAAUAAAUAUGUAUUUUUAAUUUAGUUUUAGGUUAUAUAAAGGAAUUCGGCAAAAUAUUUUUCACCUGUUUAUUAAAAACAUGGCCUUUUGAAUUUAAUCUAAGGUCUAACCUGCCCAAUGAAAUUUUUAAUGGCCGCGGUAUUUUGACCGUGCAAAGGUAGCAUAAUCAUUUGUUUUUUAAUUGAAAGCUGGUAUGAAGGGUUGAAUGAGAAAAUAACUGUCUCUAUUUAAUUUUAUUAAAAUUUUAUUUUUAAGUUAAAAAGCUUAAAUAAUUUUUGAAGACGAGAAGACCCUAUAGAGUUUAAUAAUUAUAUAAUUUAGAGAAUUAGGAAUUUAAUUUUUUUAAGUUAUAUAAUUAUUUGAUUGGGGUGAUUAAAAAAUUAAAUUAACUUUUUUAAAUUUUUACAUUAAUUUAUGAAUAGUUGAUCCUUAUUAGAGAUUAAAAGAAUAAAUUACCUUAGGGAUAACAGCGUAAUUUUUCUUUAGAGUUCAAAUCGAAAGGAAAGAUUGCGACCUCGAUGUUGGAUUAAAAUUUAUAAUUGGUGAAGAAGCUAAAUAUAUUGGGUCUGUUCGACCUUUAAAAUUUUACUUGAUCUGAGUUCAAACCGGUGUGAGCCAGGUUGGUUUCUAUCUCAAAAUAAUUAUUAUAUUUUAGUACGAAAGGACCAAAUAUAGGAUUGUAAAUUUUAUUUUUGAAUAUUAUUAAAAUGUUAUUUUGGCAGAUUAGUGCUAUAGAUUUAGAAUCUUUGAAUGUAAAUUUUACAAAUAAUACUUGAUAUUUAAGGAUAUGAUUAUAAUAAUAGUUUCUAUGUUAAUUUUGGUUUUUUGUGUAAUAAUUAGUGUAGCUUUUUUAACUUUAUUGGAACGAAAGGUUUUAGGAUAUAUUCAAAUUC
RNAcentral lists this ribosomal RNA (1886 nucleotides) under Ixapion variegatum. RNAcentral describes it as "partial 16S ribosomal RNA". The stretch from base 1010 to 1637 matches the Rfam family "Archaeal large subunit ribosomal RNA", at positions 1424 to 2976 of the family's 2987-position model. Lineage: Eukaryota; Metazoa; Arthropoda; Insecta; Coleoptera; Brentidae. The record is from RNAcentral.